UCUUCGGCAAUGGGCGCAAGCCUGACCGAGCGACGCCGCGUGCGGGAUGAAGGCCUUCGGGUUGUAAACCGCUGUCGUAGAGGAGGAAAUGCAGGGGGGUUCUCCCUUCUGUUUGACCUAUUCUAGGAGGAAGUACGGGCUAAGUUCGUGCCAGCAGCCGCGGUAAGACGAACCGUACAAACGUUACUCGGAAUUACUGGGCUUAAAGGGUGCGUAGGCUGCGCGGAAAGUUGGGUGUGAAAGCCCUCGGCUCAACCGAGGAAUUGCACUCAAAACUGCCGUGCUUGAGGGAGACAGAGGUAAGCGGAACUCAAGGUGGAGCGGUGAAAUGCGUUGAUAUCUUGAGGAACACCGGUGGCGAAGGCGGCUUACUGGGUCUUUUCUGACGCUGAGGCACGAAAGCUAAGGUAGCAAACGGGAUUAGAUACCCCGGUAGUCUUAGCUGUAAACGAUGAGCACUUGAUUGGAGGGUCCUCCAUAGCCUUCCAGUCGUAGCGAAAGUGUUAAGUGCUCCGCCUGGGGA
This 523-nucleotide ribosomal RNA is filed under the name uncultured bacterium. RNAcentral's name for it is "bacterial SSU rRNA". It matches the Rfam family "Bacterial small subunit ribosomal RNA", at positions 362 to 879 of the family's 1533-position model. The record is from RNAcentral.